RNAcentral lists this ribosomal RNA (467 nucleotides) under uncultured bacterium. RNAcentral's name for it is "partial 16S ribosomal RNA". It matches the Rfam family "Bacterial small subunit ribosomal RNA", at positions 28 to 506 of the family's 1533-position model. The record is from RNAcentral.
GACGAACGCUGGCGGCGUGCUUAACACAUGCAAGUCGAACGGAAAGGCCCUGCUUUUGUGGGGUGCUCGAGUGGCGAACGGGUGAGUAACACGUGAGUAACCUGCCCUUGACUUUGGGAUAACUUCAGGAAACUGGGGCUAAUACCGGAUAGGAGCUCCUGCUGCAUGGUGGGGGUUGGAAAGUUUCGGCGGUUGGGGAUGGACUCGCGGCUUAUCAGCUUGUUGGUGGGGUAGUGGCUUACCAAGGCUUUGACGGGUAGCCGGCCUGGGAGGGUGACCGGCCACAUUGGGACUGAGAUGCGACCCAGACUCCUACGGGAGGCAGCAGUGGGGAAUAUUGCACAAUGGGCGGAAGCCUGAUGCAGCGACGCCGCGUGCGGGAUGACGGCCUUCGGGUUGUAAACCGCUUUCGCCUGUGACGAAGCGUGAGUGACGGUAAUGGGUAAAGAAGCACCGGCUAACUACGU